This 497-nucleotide ribosomal RNA is filed under the name uncultured bacterium. Its description in RNAcentral is "partial 16S ribosomal RNA". It matches the Rfam family "Bacterial small subunit ribosomal RNA", at positions 28 to 507 of the family's 1533-position model. The record is from RNAcentral.
GACGAACGCUGGCGGCAUGCCUAACACAUGCAAGUAGAACGCUGACGCGGGGAGAUUAUGCUCUUUGGAGGGGUUGGGAACGGGUGAGUAAGGCGUAGAUAACCUUCUUCGUUGCGGGGGGGAACAAUUGGAAAAGAUUUAUAAUACUGCAUAACAAUGGAUGACAGAGGACAUUGGUUUGAAAGGGGCAUUUGCCCCAUUACAAGAUGGAUCUGAGGUGGAUUAGGUAGUAGGUGAGGUAAUGGCCCACCCAGGGGGCCGUACAUAGCCGACCUGAGAGGGUGGACGGGCACACUGGGACUGGGACACGGCCCAAGCUUCCACGGGAGGCAGCAGUAGGGGAUCUUCGGCAAUGGGGGCAACCCUGACCGCACAAAGCCGCGUGAGUGAAGGAGGGUUUCGGAUUGGAAAGCUCUGUUGUAAGUCAAGAACGGGUGUGAGGGUGGAAAGUUCACGCUGUGACGGUAGCUUACCAAAAAGGGACGGCUAACUACGUG